Molecule: long non-coding RNA, 1613 nt
Organism: Hippocampus comes (tiger tail seahorse)
Lineage: Eukaryota; Metazoa; Chordata; Actinopteri; Syngnathiformes; Syngnathidae
Exons: 2
Source: RefSeq, a predicted model, not a curated record
GCUCUUUUUUUUUUUUUUUUAAAGAGAUAUUCGUUACAAGCGCCAGGCGAUAUUGCAAAAAAGAUUUUCAUUUGAGCGUAAAAGCUAUUGCCGCCGGAAAACAAAUAGAAAAGCAGUGCAAUUCAAGGACAGCGCUCAUUUUGGAGAGAUUAAUCAGCUCGUAAUUAAAAAUGGUGAGCUUAAUUGCACCGGUGAGGCCUAUCGCUGUGUCUUGUUUGGGCUAUUAGGGGCUUUUUUUUUCUCGAAUCCUCUUCAAGGAGAGCAACAACCAAAGUCAAUCUGUUGGUUUAUUUACAAGUCAAGGGGAUGUUUCAAACUAACAGAUGUUUGCCAGCACGAUUGUGAACGACGUGGCGAGAGGGGAUCUCAUAGCAUCUCUUUACGACCUCUCAGUGAAAUUCGAGACCAACUGGUUGAAUGGAGAGCUUGAAACGGGCUCGGAAGAGGCUCUACACCCCUUGUCUUCUGCAAAUAUAUAGUUUGUCAACCACCGGAAUGACAAACAAAUCCCUGGAGAUGACAGCGUUGCAUCGCUUGGGAUUUGAGAUCAGCACAGCUUUUGAGUAGAAGAUAAAAUUUGGGCGGUUGAGGUCGGCGUGAGACUUCAAUUAUGAGGGACACAAAUGCCAAACGGAAGCCCAAUCAAUCAAGAAUUUGUCGGAAGUCGGGCAUUUUUAGGCACUUGAUGCUCAAACAGAGUAUGUGUAAGUGUGGCAUAAACAGAGUGUGUAUCACCGGCAUGAGAAAAGAUGAUGGAGUGAAUGAUGCCAUGGAAAAAAAAAGCCACUGACGUUCAACCUGAGCCAUGUGAAAAGUCAGUGUCGGCCGCGGAAUGUUUCUUGGAUGUGUUCUUACAUUCUUCUUUGUUACGUUUUUGUUUUUUUAUAGUGUGAGGUGUCACAAAAACGAGUGUUUUGCCACCAUCUUUUGGCAUCGACAAGCAAUUAGAAACCUUUUUGUGUGCGCGUCAAGAGAGUUUUCGCUAUUCGCGGCAGGACUCGGGAAGAAACUGGAAAAACUUACUGUAUUUACAUUCCAAUCACACAGGGCAGAUGUUCUUACUCGGCCUAUAUGUGUGUUAUAAAUAUUCAUCUAUAUUCAAAAGAAGAACCUUGUAAUCGAGUCCCAGUGGGAUGUGCGAGAUUGCAUUGGCUCACACUAACGGGGGCUUCAAAUACAUUGGUUACCUUCCACUGAAAGGUACAGAGUACCAAAAAAAAAAAAAAAAACCCUCAUAAUACAGUAGAGUUUGACACCAUUGAAAACUACAUGCAUAAUAAGAACUACGACUGGAAAACAAAAACAAUUUAAACAUUACUCUGCUGUAAAGUCGUCUCAUUGCAAGGCAAAGGUUCGCAAGUGUGUGCGCAUGGAGGGAAGGUUUCUAUUUUUUUUUGGUCAGGGUUCGUUCAGUGUUGUGAACAGUUAAGCUAAAGCAACACGUUUGAACUAACAGACAUUUUGGCACAAAGCAAAUUUGUUUUUACGGGUGCUUUUGAAAAAGAGAUCAUAAAAUAUGGAGCCGUUUUGUGCACAUUGUGUGUGAUUACAGUUGACUGCUUUUCUACUUGUUAGGAAACCCCAGCGGGGAAAUAAAACAUUUAGGCAGCGCA